CUGAAGCAGUGAGAAAGUGGAAUUGACCAGGCUUGAGUUAACCUGAGCCACACCAGGAGGAGAAUGGUGUCAUCACUGGACAAAGGAAAAGGAGGAAGUUGCUGCAGAAAUGAAUUCACAUCAUCAGUCAUGGUUACCUAUACAAGACCUUCACAAGAUUAAAACAUACAAAAAUUCCAGAAUGGAAAGAUCUACUGUGAAUCCCAGGGUGUUCUGGAAUUUCAGAUCUUCCUACCUCUGCCUCUUGACUGCUGGGAUUACAGGUAGAUACCAUCAUUAUGCUUGAAUUAUGAAAAAUUUUUAUUAGAUUUGAUUUUUUGUCCGAUGAUUGAAUGAGUCACUGUCAUCUCUUGAAUCAAAUUAAGUAAAAAGUACAAAUCUAAGUUUGCAUAUUUUACUUUGCACAGGAAAUUUAAUUCUCAUGAAUCAAAUGCGUGCACAAGAUUUAAACCUUACAAUUAUGUAUUUGUACCUUGUAUGUGUAGAAAUAAAAUAUUGCAGUGAACUUUCUGUCUUUAUGAGAAAUGAUAGAUACAUCUUCACUCUGUGCCAAGCUGAGCAUGUCUGCACACCUCACUAAUGGCUCAUUUGGAAUAUAUCAUGUGCUAUCUGUAUGAUCUCCAAAAAUGUACAAAUGUUAUAUAAGCUAAAAUUUGCACUGUAAAUAAAUGACUCAGCUGUUGCAUAGUUGACAAUGUACCCAGGUAUUGGAAACAAACUUACAAAUAGUUGCUGGUCUUAAGGAGUUCAUCCAGUACUUGACUCUUUUGUCUGAAAAGUAUAUUUAAAAACAAGCAGAGGGUUUUUCUUUAGAUUUUGACAGAGCAAUAGACACAGUCAGUAUCACUUGCAUUUUGGCAGAGACUGGAAUGCCAGUAAAGGAAUGGGAGAGCUUUAGAGAGGCAAUAAGAGAAGUCCUGAUGUGCUCUGAUUUGAAACCAGUGGCACAGGGAGGCUGUAGGUUGAUGAUAGGUUAAGGGUUCGUUUCUGGUUACUCUGAAGAGUCAUAAGUUAAAAAUGGGGGUAUAAGUUAUGGAGACUUUUAGGCCCUGGACUUAGACAUCUGUUAUUGGGGAAAUCCUAUAGUGCUAAAAGAAAUAUUGAUUUAACUUCACAUAAAUUUUAUUUGCCAAGAGAGUAGAAUGUCUUCCUUGGCUGGUAACAACAGAGGGUGGGUUGAGUCACAGGGCAUGGCAUGGAUUGUGUUCUGAACUCUAUUUUUGUAUAUAGU
Peromyscus californicus insignis is the source of this 1231-nucleotide long non-coding RNA. RefSeq lists it as uncharacterized. The transcript is spliced from 3 exons. Lineage: Eukaryota; Metazoa; Chordata; Mammalia; Rodentia; Cricetidae. The record is from RefSeq and is a predicted model, not a curated record.